Molecule: ribosomal RNA, 207 nt
Filed under: uncultured bacterium
Lineage: Bacteria
Description: partial 16S ribosomal RNA
Rfam family: Bacterial small subunit ribosomal RNA
Source: RNAcentral
UGCGUAGGUGGCAUGGUAAGUUUGAUGUGAAAGCUCAGGGCUCAACCCUGAAAUGGCAUUGAAUACUACUGUGCUGGAGGUUUGGAGGGGGGACUGGAAUUCUCGGUGUAGCAGUGAAAUGCGUAGAUAUCGAGAGGAACACCAGUGGCGAAGGCGAGUCCCUGGACAACACCUGACACUGAGGCACGAAAGCUAGGGGAGCAAACA